This 375-nucleotide ribosomal RNA is filed under the name uncultured bacterium. RNAcentral describes it as "bacterial SSU rRNA". It matches the Rfam family "Bacterial small subunit ribosomal RNA", at positions 524 to 898 of the family's 1533-position model. The record is from RNAcentral.
UACGUAGGGUGCAAGCGUUGUCCGGAAUUACUGGGUUUAAAGGGUGCGUAGGCGGGUCUAUAAGUCAGCGGUAAAAUAUUCAGGCUCAAAUUGGGUUGUGCCGUUGAUACUGUAGGUCUUGAGAAAAGAUAACGAAGCCGGAAUUCAUGGUGUAGCGGUGAAAUGCAUAGAUACCAUGAGGAACACCGAUAGCGUAGGCAGGUUUCGGGUCUUUAUCUGACGCUGAUGCACGACAGCAUGGGGAUCAAACAGGAUUAGAUACCCUGGUAGUCCAUGCCGUAAACGAUGGAUACUCGGUGUGUGUAUGUAAAAGAUAUGCGUGCCUAAGGGAAACCGAUAAGUAUCCCACCUGGGGAGUACGCUCGCAAGGGUGAA